This 417-nucleotide ribosomal RNA is filed under the name uncultured bacterium. RNAcentral's name for it is "partial 16S ribosomal RNA". It matches the Rfam family "Bacterial small subunit ribosomal RNA", at positions 360 to 775 of the family's 1533-position model. The record is from RNAcentral.
AAUAUUUGUCAAUGGAGGCAACUCUGAACCAGCCAUGCCGCGUGCAGGAUGACGGUCCUAUGGAUUGUAAACUGCUUUUGUACAGGAAGAAAGAGAGCUACGAGUAGCUUAUUGACGGUACUGUAACAAUAAGGAACGGCUAACUCCGUCCCCGCAGCCGCGGUAAUACGGAGGAUCCAAGCGUUAUCCGGAAUCAUGGGGUUUAAAGGGUCCGUAGGGGGCCUUAUAAGUCAGCGGUGAAAGUUUUUGGCUUAACCAAAAAAUUGCCGUUGAUACUGUAGGGCUUGAAGUUUUGUGAAGUAGCUAGAAUAUGUAGUGUAGCGGUGAAAUGCUUAGAUAUUACAUGGAAUACCAAUUGCGAAGGCAGGUUACUAACAAACGAUUGACGCUGAUGGACGAAAGCGUGGUAGCGAACAG